Molecule: long non-coding RNA, 624 nt
Filed under: Amphimedon queenslandica
Lineage: Eukaryota; Metazoa; Porifera; Demospongiae; Haplosclerida; Niphatidae
Description: uncharacterized LOC109582246, transcript variant X1
Source: RNAcentral
GCACACACUACUACAUGUAUACUGCCUAUUGUUACUCUACACUGUCCAUUUCUUGUUAUAUGUUUAUUAUUAAUAUUGCCAUUGGCUCUAAUCUACUGUUACAUUACUGCAGUAAUGAUAUUAUUUUAAGUUAUUAUUAUCCACACAAUAGACAAUAGCUCUUUGUCAUGAAGUGGGCCAGCAUUACAGGCUCUGCCCCCCCCAGUGUUUGUUAUUCCCAGCUGAUUUCAGGUCCUCAAUGUCAUAUGGUAAUAACAGGUUCUUCUCUUUUGGUAUUUCAGUAAAUGACAAGAACUCAUCACAAUACAUACCAGUGUUGUCCCAGUCUGGACUGACGCUACCAGUCCUGAUUCCUGUACUGAUCCCAGUGCUGUUAAUGUGGUAAGAUUGUAAGUAAUGGACUGGGUGUGGCCUUUUAAUAAUAAUUAUAUUAAUAUAUACAUGUAAACUAUUCCAAGUUUAUACUGUUGAUACUGUCAUUAGUGAUUAAUAAUACUAAUGGAGGGACUGAGGCAGCUGCUGCUGCUGCUGGUAGUGGAUUUGAACAAGUAGCAGAUCAAAUAAUAAACCUGGAAACCAACCUGGCUAAAGUAUGCACACACGGCGGUAGCCUAUAUGUAGGAU